GUAAGCUAAAAGAGAACAGCCACGACAGAGGAUACAGUGAAGAUUCAAAAAACGGUGGUGAAUAUUGAAAAGGCGUUGGAGGACACAUAAUAGAAUGCAAAGUCCACAAGGAGAGGGGCUUUGUGUCUUGUUUCACACUGUGUCCCCAGGCUUAGAAUAUUCUGGCAUCAGAAGGCACUCAGUAAACAUAGAGAGGAAGAAAGGAAGAAGAUGAAAUCAGGAGUACAGAUUAAAGUGUUAUCUUUGGAAGACAGGCAAGACAUCCUUUGGGACAGAAGGGAAGGAGAGAAAGCUGGGGAACAUGCAGAUAAUACAAGAGGUGCGGUUUGUGACUGAUGGCUGCUAUUUUCUCUGUGAGGUAGGAGGCUUGGCCAUCUGUUAAAAUGAGUGGGUGAGUCCAGCUAAGUAAUUUAAGAAGAAUGGUAAAGGUUUGUACCAGCUACUAGCAUGAAUAAUAUGGUUAUUUACUUGAAAUAAAAAUAUUAGAUGAUACUAACAAUGCAUGCAUUAUGAAAAUUGAUGCAUUCAUUUGAGGUUACUUACUGAUUUACAGAAAAUAAGCCACUGGGUGCAUUCAAUCAUUUAUAAGGUUAGGGGUUAAGUUUAAGACAUAAAUGUAAAUUUGUCUGCGUAUUAUCCAGAGUAAAGUCAAUAUCCUCUUUGGUACAUUGCACAAUCUCAGACACUGUGUUACUCUUUUGCUGUGAGCUUUUAAGGUCUACCUUAAUAUAUUCAUAACUGUAACAUUGUGUAAUUAUGAACUUCAUCAUUUGGAUAAAAUUAUGAACAAAAGCAAUUGUCCAGAAUUCUCUGAUUUAGUUGCCAUAUCUUAAAUAAUGCCUUUUGUGAAGAAAAUAUGUGAUUAAAUUAUAUGUAAAUACUUUAAUUUUAUAGACUAGAGGUGGCUCUGAAUAUGUAGAUUUCAUAAUGUUAAAUAUCACAAAGACUUCUGUGACCAUAAAAAAGCUGCUUAAUUAAGCACUUUAAUAUACUGUCAAGGCAUGUAUAUUAAGCAAAAGCAAAAGCUUAAUUACUCUUUUACAGACUGAAUCCAGACAACUUUGGACAUUCCUUCAUUUGAAGAAUUUUUACUGAACAAUUACAGACCAUUGAUUGAUACAGUGAAGAUCAGAAUGGCAUAGUUUUCCUGUCUUCAUGGAGAUGAAUGAAUGAACUGUAUUUUUUAUUAGCCUAAGCAUGAAUUCUUCCCAAAUUUCCUCCAUGAACCAUAGGAUCCUACCUCUUAACCAUUUUAUGAAAAUUCUAUGGUGAAUUGAGGUCCUCAAGUUGUCUGACAAUAUCUGAUUUUGCCACGGUCAUGUGGGAAAAGUAGGCAUGUGAGCAAGUCAUAGUUUUACUUGUUUGGAAGAUUCUUCUAAUUAUGUCAAGAUGAAAGGUUUUAUACUGUGUAGAAGGCAGUGUGAGAGAAGUGGACAGUAGAACUCCUAUUUGGUGGGCCAGUGGCUAUAUUUUAAAAUAUGAAGGAUACAUAUUUGACUGUUUAAGUACAAUGAUCUGCCAUGGAUCUAUACUUUUGGGCUGCUGUCUUUUAGGCUAAAGCAAUUAAAGGCAAUGUAAUGAACAUGGUUAUCUGUGGAUGCCCCUUUGAUUGCCAUUGUAUUAUGCUUUACACUGUGAUGGCUCUCUCUUUGAGGAGAGACGCUGUUCCUCCAGGGAGAUAAAAUAUAAAAUAUGAAUCUUACCCUUAAGCAUACACUUCUCCCCACUCUCAAUAUACAGUGGCUCUGGAAUUCAUGCUUCACUUGGGAGUUGAAAGUUUGCGUUUAUAAUUUUAUAUUCUUAUUACAGGCCAGGCUAUUGAGAUUAGAAAGUCUUUAUUUUUCAGUUGGAGUGUGAUGAGCCAUAUUCCCUAUUGUAAACAGCCAUAUUAACCAAGAUAAUUUAAUUUGGAAUGAUUGCUUUUUGCCUUUGAGCUGUAGAUCAAAAGGUUCCAUUAUAUGUACAAAUAAAGUAAAAAAAAAUUUUUUCUGUGAAUGUUACAAAAUUUUUUUAUUGUGGUAAAAAACACGUAAGAUCUUUCCUCUUAAAUUUUGGGUGUAUGGUACAGCAUUGUUAACUAUAAGCAUAAUGUUGUAGAGCAGAUCUGUGAAAAUUUUGUCUCUUGUAUGAUUAAAACUUUAUGCUCACGGAACAGCAAUUUUCCCAUUUGUCCCUCUUCCUAGCAUCUAGAAACCAUAAUUUUACUCUAUAUUUCCAUGAGUUUGACUAUUUUAGAUACUUCACAUAGUGGAAUCAAGUACUAUUUGUCUUUCUUGUACUGGCGUAUUUCACUUGGCAUAAUGUCCUCAAGGUAUAUCUAUGUAACAGAAUUUUCUUCUUUUUAUGGCUGAAUAAUAUUCUAUUGUAUAAAUAUAUAGUACAUUUUCUUUAUCCAUACAUAUUGCUGAUAAACUUUUAGGUUGUUUCUAAUUCUUUUCUUUUUUUGAGACGGAAUCUCGCUCUGUCACCCAGGCUGGAGUUCAGUGGCGUGAUCUCGGCUCACUGCAAGCUCGCCGUCCUGGGUUCACGCCAUUCUCCUGCCUCUGCCUCCGGAGUAGCUGGGAUUACAGGCACCUGCCUGCCACCGCGCUCGGCUAAUUUUUUUAUUUAUUUAUUUUUAGUAGAGAUGGUGUUUCACCAUGUUAGCCAGGAUGGUCUCAAUCUCCUGACCUCGUGAUCUGCCCGCCUCGGCCUCCCAAAAUGCUGGGAUUACAGGCAUGAGCCACCGCUCCCGACCAGUUGUUUCUAAUUCUUAUCUAUUGUGAAUAAUGCUGCAAUGAACACGGAAGGGCAAAUAUCUUCCAUGUCCUGAUUUCAGCUCUUUUGGAUAAAUGCCCAGAAGUGGGAUUGCUGGAUCAAAUGGUAGUUUUUAUUUUUAAUUUUUCUAUCAAUCUCUAUGCUGUUUUUUUUAUAGUGGCAACAUCAUUUUAUAUUCUUACCAGUAGUGCACACGGUUCAAAUUUUUCCACAUCCUUGCCAACACUUUAUUUUUUUAAUUUUUAAUUUUUUAUAAUGACCAUCAUAAUGAGUGUGAGAUGAUACCUCAGUGUGGUUUUGAUUUGCAUUUCUCUAAUGAUUAGUGAAGAAUGUCUUUUCAUAUGCCUGUCGGUCAUUUGUAUCUCUUCUUUGAAGAUAGUUAUUUUUAUUUUUAUUUUCUGCUAUUGAGUUUCUUGUAUAUUUUUAUAUUAACCCCCUGUCAGAUAUAUGGUUUACAAAUAUUUUCUCUCAUUCUGUAGGUUGCUUUUGUACUCGGUUGAUUAUUUCCUUCACUAUGCAGAAGAUUUUUAGUUUCUGGCUUUUUCAUUUGAUGUAAAUCCAUUUGUCUAUUUUUGCUUUUGUUACUUGUGCUUUUGGUGUCAUAUCCAAGAAUUAAUUGCCAAGACAAAUGUUAUGAAAAUUUUACCCUAUGUUGCCUUCUUGGAGUUUUAUAAAUUCAUGUCUUAUGUUUAAGUCUUUAAUCUAUUUUGAGUUGAUUUUUGUGCAUGAUAUAAAAUAAGGAUCCAAUUUUAUUCUUUUUGAAUGUGAAUAUCUAGUUUUUCCAGCACCAAUUUUUUGAUACUAUCCUUUUCCCAUUGUGUACUCUUGGCAUCCUGUCAAAGAUCAUUUGACUGUAUAUGUGUGGGUUUAUUUCUGGACUCUCAGUAUUGUUCCAUUAGCCUAUAUGUCUAUCUUUAUUCCAGUACCAUGGUCUUUUGAUGACUAUAGCUUUGUAAUAUGUUCUAAAGUUAAAAAGUUUGAGGCCUCCAGUUUUGCUCUUUUUGUCAAGAUUGUUUAGGCUACUUUGGGGUCAUUUGUACUUCUGUACAAUUUUUAGAAUUGUUUUGUCAAUUUCUGCAAAAAAUGUCACUAUGACUUUAAUAGGAAUUGCAUUAAAUGUGUAGACUUUGGGUGGUAUGGACAUUUGAACAAUGUCUUCUAAUCCAUGAACGUGGGAAGUCUUUCCAUUUAUUUGUGUCUUCUUUUCUUUUUUUAACUUUUUUGAGAUUAUGUUGUGCUCUUCAUUGCCAAAAAUAAACACUUUUAAAAACACAACUUCUGUUAAUCAAUAAAUAUCUCUUUCUUUCUGUGUUUUUUCCAGGCUGCUAAUUAACUGCUUUGUGUAUGUUCCUCCCUGGAGACAGUGUUAAGAGGUCAGGGCCAGAGCCUUCAUUUGGGAGAAAUGAAAUACUUCUGUGUAUGUGGGAGGGGCCCUUGCUCCUGCUGGCCACUGCCACCACUACCACCACCACCAUCACCAAACUAAAUAAUCAGGUAUUGGUGGUGAAGGGGUUUGUAACUGCUGGGUAGAGAGUGAAAUAUUGUAUCUACAUAGGGGAGAGGGCACAGCCAUGGCCUGAUGCUCUUCCCAGAAGGUUACUUCUCA
RNAcentral lists this long non-coding RNA (4363 nucleotides) under Homo sapiens (human). RNAcentral describes it as "HSALNT0402917". Lineage: Eukaryota; Metazoa; Chordata; Mammalia; Primates; Hominidae. The record is from RNAcentral.